UCUUCCUUUCACUCCCAGUGUCCUGCACUGUGCCCUAAGGACUGUGAGGUACUGAAUUUGGCAUUGGCCAACAAGUCACCGAGACCAGCGGACCAGCACAUCUGCACCAUCUCCUGACAGCAUGGAAAACAUAGGCAAAGCUGGGACAGCCAGGGAUGAAAAAGUUGUGAACGCUUAUACCCAAAGCCUGAUGCAAUUUUUAGGCUGAUUUGCUUUCCCUGGGCAGGAGGUGGCUCCUUUUAUUUUGCCAAAUGGGGCGAAAAGAUGCCUGACUCAGUGGAAGUGCACUCCAUAACGGCUUGCCGGGAG
Long non-coding RNA from Phyllostomus discolor (pale spear-nosed bat), 309 nucleotides. RefSeq lists it as uncharacterized. NCBI's taxonomy places the organism in Eukaryota, Metazoa, Chordata, Mammalia, Chiroptera, Phyllostomidae. The transcript is spliced from 4 exons. The record is from RefSeq and is a predicted model, not a curated record.